Molecule: ribosomal RNA, 430 nt
Filed under: uncultured Acidobacteriota bacterium
Lineage: Bacteria; Pseudomonadati; Acidobacteriota
Description: bacterial SSU rRNA
Rfam family: Bacterial small subunit ribosomal RNA
Source: RNAcentral
AUGUUGGGUUAAGUCCCGCAACGAGCGCAACCCUUAUCGUUAGUUGCCAUCAGGUCAAGCUGGGCACUCUAGCGAAACCGCCUCGGAUAACGGGGAGGAAGGUGGGGAUGACGUCAAGUCCUCAUGGCCUUUAUGUCCAGGGCUACACACGUGCUACAAUGGUCGGUACAAACCGUCGCAAACCCGCGAGGGGGAGCUAAUCGGAAAAAGCCGGCCUCAGUUCGGAUUGAAGUCUGCAACUCGACUUCAUGAAGCUGGAAUCGCUAGUAAUCGCAGAUCAGAACGCUGCGGUGAAUACGUUCCCGGGCCUUGUACACACCGCCCGUCACAUCACGAAAGUGGGUGAUACUAGAAGCCGUUUCGCCAACCCGCAAGGGGGGCUGACGUCCAAGGUAUGACUCAUGAUUGGGGUGAAGUCGUAACAAGGUAA